GACCCGCGUCUGAUUAGCUAGUUGGUAAGGUAACGGCUUACCAAGGCGACGAUCAGUAGCCGACCUGAGAGGGUGAUCGGCCACAUUGGAACUGAGACACGGUCCAAACUCCUACGGGAGGCAGCAGUGGGGAAUAUUGCACAAUGGGCGAAAGCCUGAUGCAGCAACGCCGCGUGAGUGAUGAAGGCCUUCGGGUCGUAAAACUCUGUCCUCAAGGAAGAUAAUGACGGUACUUGAGGAGGAAGCCCCGGCUAACUACGUGCCAGCAGCCGCGGUAAUACGUAGGGGGCUAGCGUUAGCCGGAUUUACUGGGCGUAAAGGGUGCGUAGGCGGUCUUUCAAGUCAGGAGUGAAAGGCUACGGCUCAACCGUAGUAAGCUCUUGAAACUGGGAGACUUGAGUGCAGGAGAGGAGAGUGGAAUUCCUAGUGUAGCGGUGAAAUGCGUAGAUAUUAGGAGGAACACCAGUUGCGAAGGCGGCUCUCUGGACUGUAACUGACGC
RNAcentral lists this ribosomal RNA (500 nucleotides) under Clostridioides difficile. Its description in RNAcentral is "bacterial SSU rRNA". It matches the Rfam family "Bacterial small subunit ribosomal RNA", at positions 228 to 746 of the family's 1533-position model. The record is from RNAcentral. Lineage: Bacteria; Bacillati; Bacillota; Clostridia; Peptostreptococcales; Peptostreptococcaceae.